This 429-nucleotide ribosomal RNA is filed under the name Gemmatimonadota bacterium. RNAcentral describes it as "Gemmatimonadetes bacterium partial 16S ribosomal RNA". It matches the Rfam family "Bacterial small subunit ribosomal RNA", at positions 355 to 776 of the family's 1533-position model. Lineage: Bacteria; Pseudomonadati; Gemmatimonadota. The record is from RNAcentral.
UAGGGAAUCUUCGGCAAUGGACGAAAGUCUGACCGAGCAACGCCGCGUGAGUGAAGAAGGUUUUCGGAUCGUAAAACUCUGUUGUUAGAGAAGAACAAGGACGUUAGUAACUGAACGUCCCCUGACGGUAUCUAACCAGAAAGCCACGGCUAACUACGUGCCAGCAGCCGCGGUAAUACGUAGGUGGCAAGCGUUGUCCGGAUUUAUUGGGCGUAAAGCGAGCGCAGGCGGUUUCUUAAGUCUGAUGUGAAAGCCCCCGGCUCAACCGGGGAGGGUCAUUGGGAACUGGGGGACUUGAGUGCAGAAGAGGAGAGUGGAAUUCCAUGUGUAGCGGUGAGAUGCGUAGAUAUAUGGAGGAACACCAGUGGCGAAGGCGGCUCUCUGGUCUGUAACUGACGCUGAGGCUCGAAAGCGUGGGGAGCAAACAGG